This 620-nucleotide ribosomal RNA is filed under the name uncultured bacterium. Its description in RNAcentral is "bacterial SSU rRNA". It matches the Rfam family "Bacterial small subunit ribosomal RNA", at positions 427 to 1063 of the family's 1533-position model. The record is from RNAcentral.
AAACCACUGUUCCUGGGGACGAAGCACUGACGGUACCCAGGGAGGAAGGCCCGGCUAACUACGUGCCAGCAGCCGCGGUAAUACGUAGGGGUCGAGCGUUGUCCGGAGUUACUGGGCGUAAAGCGCGCGCAGGUGGCUCAUUACGCCCGGCGUGAAAGCCCCCGGCUCAACCGGGGAAGGUCGUCGGGUACGGGUGAGCUUGAGGGUAUCAGGGGCUGGUGGAAUUCCCGGUGUAGUGGUGAAAUGCGUAGAGAUCGGGAGGAACACCCGUGGCGAAGGCGGCCAGCUGGGAUACACCUGACACUGAGGCGCGAAGGCGUGGGGAGCGAACGGGAUUAGAUACCCCGGUAGUCCACGCAGUAAACGAUGCAGACUAGGCGUGGGGGGACUUGACCCCUUCCGUGCCGAAGCUAACGCAUGAAGUCUGCCGCCUGGGGAGUACGGCCGCAAGGCUAAAACUCAAAGGAAUUGACGGGGGCCCGCACAAGCGGCGGAGCGUGUUCUUUAAUUCGUCGCAACGCGAAGAACCUUACCAGGGUUUGACAUAUCGCUGCAUGCCCCGGAAACGGGGAGGCCUACGAGGGUGCGAUACAGGUGCUGCAUGGCUGUCGUCAGCUCGU